GAUUAAGUUAUUAAGGGCGCACGGUGGAUGCCUUGGCACUAGAAGCCGAUGAAGGACGUUACUAACGACGAUAUGCUUUGGGUAGCUGUAAGUAAGCGUUGAUCCAGAGAUUUCCGAAUGAGGGAACCCAGCAUGAGUUAUGUCAUGUUAUCGACAUGUGAAUUCAUAGCAUGUCAGAAGGCAGACCCGGAGAACUGAAACAUCUUAGUACCCGGAGGAAGAGAAAGAAAAAUCGAUUCCCUGAGUAGCGGC
Molecule: ribosomal RNA, 252 nt
Filed under: Staphylococcus epidermidis
Lineage: Bacteria; Bacillati; Bacillota; Bacilli; Caryophanales; Staphylococcaceae
Description: partial 23S ribosomal RNA
Rfam family: Bacterial large subunit ribosomal RNA
Source: RNAcentral